UGACGUUAGCGACAGAAGAAGCACCGGCUAACUCCGUGCCAGCAGCCGCGGUAAUACGGAGGGUGCGAGCGUUAAUCGGAAUUACUGGGCGUAAAGCGCAUGCAGGUGGUUUGUUAAGUCAGAUGUGAAAGCCCGGGGCUCAACCUCGGAAUAGCAUUUGAAACUGGCAGACUAGAGUACUGUAGAGGGGGGUAGAAUUUCAGGUGUAGCGGUGAAAUGCGUAGAGAUCUGAAGGAAUACCGGUGGCGAAGGCGGCCCCCUGGACAGAUACUGACACUCAGAUGCGAAAGCGUGGGGAGCAAACAGGAUUAGAUACCCUGGUAGUCCACGCCGUAAACGAUGUCUACUUGGAGGUUGUGGCCUUGAGCCGUGGCUUUCGGAGCUAACGCGUUAAGUAGACCGCCUGGGGAGUACGGUCGCAAGAUUAAAACUCAAAUGAAUUGACGGGGGCCCGCACAAGCGGUGGAGCAUGUGGUUUAAUUCGAUGCAACGCGAAGAACCUUACCUACUCUUGACAUCCAGAGAACUUUCCAGAGAUGGAUUGGUGCCUUCGGGAACUCUGAGACAGGUGCUGCAUGGCUGUCGUCAGCUCGUGUUGUGAAAUGUUGGGUUAAGUCCCGCAACGAGCGCAACCCUUAUCCUUGUUUGCCAGCGAGUAAUGUCGGGAACUCCAGGGAGACUGCCGGUGAUAAACCGGAGGAAGGUGGGGACGACGUCAAGUCAUCAUGGCCCUUACGAGUAGGGCUACACACGUGCUACAAUGGCGCAUACAGAGGGCAGCAAGCUAGCGAUAGUGAGCGAAUCCCAAAAAGUGCGUCGUAGUCCGGAUUGGAGUCUGCAACUCGACUCCAUGAAGUCGGAAUCGCUAGUAAUCGUGGAUCAGAAUGCCACGGUGAAUACGUUCCCGGGCCUUGUACACACCGCCCGUCACACCAUGGGAGUGGGCUGCAAAAGAAGUAGGUAGUUUAACCUUCGGGAGGACGCUUACCACUUUGUGGUUCAUGACUGGGGUGAAGUCGUAACAAGGUAGCGCUAGGGGAACCUGGCGCUGGAUCACCU
Molecule: ribosomal RNA, 1059 nt
Filed under: Vibrio owensii
Lineage: Bacteria; Pseudomonadati; Pseudomonadota; Gammaproteobacteria; Vibrionales; Vibrionaceae
Description: bacterial SSU rRNA
Rfam family: Bacterial small subunit ribosomal RNA
Source: RNAcentral